RNAcentral lists this unclassified non-coding RNA (635 nucleotides) under Hevea brasiliensis (rubber tree). Lineage: Eukaryota; Viridiplantae; Streptophyta; Magnoliopsida; Malpighiales; Euphorbiaceae. The record is from RNAcentral.
GAUUAAUCCUUAAUUCCCUAUAAUUGCUUUCCAUUAGCUAAUCCACUACAACACGAGUUGCACAAAUAUCAUGUGAACAUACACGUUUCUCCUAGUAGAUGGUAUCAUGCAGAGGAAAUUCAUAGGGAGAAAAGGGAAAGGAAAGAGAAGGUAACAAAGCAUAAAGGGCCAGGAACUUCUAUCUUCUUAACUUUAUAUCUAAAAAAUUCAAGAAAGCAACAUAUUCAUCUAUUCAUGUUAGAUCUAAAAGAAAACUGACAAUGGAGAAAACAAAAAUAAAUCUUUUCUACAAACUCUUAAGGUUUGAAAGAAAAGAAUUACAAACAUUUGAAACAAGAAAGACAAGCAUCUAUUUAUGGUAUGCCUUUGCUCACUUCUAUCAAGAAAAUGGUAUUAUGCCUGCUCACCUCUGAAAACUCCUGACUUGAAAUUCCAUCAAUUGAUAUAACCUCUUUCUUGUCCAAAUUUAAUAUCUCAAGCAUGAUAUUAGUUGUUCUUGAGCCAACUUUAUAUGAUUCAGCCACCUUGCUAGUACCUAAACACGAAAUCAUCAAAAACUUACAAAGUUGUCAAGCUUAUGCUUCAAAAUACAAUGUUCAAAGAUAAAUCUUGGAGCAUUGCUUUUUCCUUCUAUG